This 615-nucleotide ribosomal RNA is filed under the name Cutaneotrichosporon moniliiforme. Its description in RNAcentral is "LSU rRNA". It matches the Rfam family "Eukaryotic large subunit ribosomal RNA", at positions 50 to 655 of the family's 3401-position model. Lineage: Eukaryota; Fungi; Basidiomycota; Tremellomycetes; Trichosporonales; Trichosporonaceae. The record is from RNAcentral.
GCGGAGGAAAAGAAACUAACAAGGAUUCCCCUAGUAACGGCGAGUGAACCGGGAAAAGCUCAAAUUUGUAAUCUGGCUGUCUUCGAUAGUCCGAGUUGUAAUCUAUAGACGUGUUUUCCGUGCUGGACCGUAUCUAAGUCCCUUGGAACAGGGUAUCAAAGAGGGUGACAAUCCCGUGCUUGAUACGACCACCAGUGCUCUGUGAUACACGCUCUACGAGUCGAGUUGUUUGGGAAUGCAGCUCAAAAUGGGUGGUAAAUUCCAUCUAAAGCUAAAUAUUGGCGAGAGACCGAUAGCGAACAAGUACCGUGAGGGAAAGAUGAAAAGCACUUUGGAAAGAGAGUUAAACAGUACGUGAAAUUGUUGAAAGGGAAACGAUUGAAGUCAGUCGUGUUCUUUGGAUUCAGCUAGUUCUUCUAGUCUACUUCCUUUGAACGGGUCAACAUCAGUUUUGUCCGGUGGAUAAAGAUAGUAGGAAUGUAGCUCCCUCGGGAGUGUUAUAGACUAUUAUUGCAUGCACUGGGUGAGACUGAGGACUGCAGCUCGCCUUUUGGCCGGCCUUCGGGUACGUUCGAGCUUAGGAUGUUGACAUAAUGGCUUUAAACGACCCGUCUU